UGCGCAGGCGGCUCCUUAAGUCAGAUGUGAAAGCCCCGGGCUUAACCUGGGAACUGCGUUUGAAACUGGGGAGCUAGAGUGUAGAAGAGGGGGGUGGAAUUCCAGGUGUAGCGGUGAAAUGCGUAGAGAUCUGGAGGAACACCGAUGGCGAAGGCAGCCCCCUGGGCUAACACUGACGCUCAUGCACGAAAGCGUGGGGAAGCAAACA
RNAcentral lists this ribosomal RNA (208 nucleotides) under uncultured bacterium. Its description in RNAcentral is "partial 16S ribosomal RNA". It matches the Rfam family "Bacterial small subunit ribosomal RNA", at positions 568 to 774 of the family's 1533-position model. The record is from RNAcentral.